GACGAACGCUGGCGGCGUGCCUAACACAUGCAAGUCGAACGGAAACGCCCUGCUUGCGUGGGGUUCCCGAGUGGCGAACGGGUGCGUAACACGUGUGCAACCUGCUCUUGAUUUUGGGAUAACUUCAGGAAACUGGGGUUAAUAUCGGAUAGGAGCUCCUGUUGCAUGGUGGGGGUUGGAUCGUCUCGGCGGGUGGGGAUGGAUUCGCGGCUUACCAGCUUGUUGGUUGGGUAGUGGCUUACCAAGGCAUUGACGGGUAGGCGGCCUGAGAGGGUGACCGGCCACAUUGGGACUGAGGGACGGACCAGACUCCAACGGUGGGCAGCAGUGGCGAAUAUUGCACAGUGAGCGGAAGCCUGAUGCAACGGCGCCGCGUGCGGGAUGACGGCCUUCGGGUUAUAAACCGCUUUCGCCUGUGACGAAGCGUGAGUGACGGUAAUGGAUAAAGAAGCACCGGCUAACUACGUG
This 468-nucleotide ribosomal RNA is filed under the name uncultured bacterium. RNAcentral's name for it is "partial 16S ribosomal RNA". It matches the Rfam family "Bacterial small subunit ribosomal RNA", at positions 28 to 507 of the family's 1533-position model. The record is from RNAcentral.